RNAcentral lists this unclassified non-coding RNA (329 nucleotides) under soil metagenome. RNAcentral describes it as "partial contains 5.8S ribosomal RNA, internal transcribed spacer 2, and large subunit ribosomal RNA". The stretch from base 1 to 120 matches the Rfam family "5.8S ribosomal RNA", at positions 35 to 154 of the family's 154-position model. The record is from RNAcentral.
GAUGAAGAACGCAGCGAAAUGCGAUAAGUAAUGUGAAUUGCAGAAUUCAGUGAAUCAUCGAAUCUUUGAACGCACAUUGCGCCCCCUGGUAUUCCGGGGGGCAUGCCUGUCCGAGCGUCAUUACAACCCUCAAGCUCAGCUUGGUGUUGGGCCCCGCCGCCCCGGCGGGCCCUAAAGUCAGUGGCGGUGCCAUCCGGCUCCGAGCGUAGUAAUUCUUCUCGCUCUGGAGGUCCGGUUGUGUGCUUGCCAUCAACCCCCAAUUUUUUUCAGGUUGACCUCGGAUCAGGUAGGGAUACCCGCUGAACUUAAGCAUAUCAAUAAGCGGAGGA